AGCUGUGCCUGGAAAAAAAAAAUCCAUGAGACAAGUCCCUGGAGUUCUGCUCGGGAUUUCUGUGGUGUUGUAGAGAUGUAAUACCACAGAAAACCCACACUCCUUCAUGGGCCACCAUCAAGCACAGGAAAGCUGACAAGAUACCAAGACUAGCAGGCUGCAUGAUCCUACGUUUGGCUCUCUUGUAAACGGCUCAGAUUCAGGACAACAUCAAGGAUUGAAUAUCGCCCGUUAUACAAGGUGUCAGUAAUCACGUGGCUCCUGCAAGAUGUGAGUUGACUGUACGUCGUUUUCUUCAGAAAUCUAACUUUGGUACCCAAGGAUUGUGAGAUAUGACUCAGAAGUAUUAAAUGAGACCUUGGUCCAUCCUUUGUACCUAAGGAUUGUGGUAUAGGACUCAAAAGUAAUGUAUAACAAUGUGGCCCAUUUUUUGUUUCACCUGAGGAUUGUGGGAUAGGACUCGGAAGUAAUUAGAUAGACCGUGGUCCAACCGCUGCCCACUAGAGACUUUCCCAGCACAGAUAUACCAGUGAGGACCAUUGAGUACCCUGUGGAAAACGACACAUAUCAAUCAGAGAGCCUGGGGCGAGCGCAAAGUAAACCUAUGACGUUAGGGACUGGGUCUAUUUUUCAAAAUGGCGGCCUACAAAAUAAAUAAAUAAAAAAACGCGAAUUCCUGCAAGUUUACCUGAACAUUCUCGAUGUACACAUUUCUAAAGAGUUCAAGAUUGCUUGAUUUGCAAAGUGCAGUUGCUGAACUUACUUUUAGGAAUAGGAAUAAUAAGUAGACAAACAAGACCAGCGA
Nematostella vectensis (starlet sea anemone) is the source of this 805-nucleotide long non-coding RNA. RefSeq lists it as uncharacterized. Lineage: Eukaryota; Metazoa; Cnidaria; Anthozoa; Actiniaria; Edwardsiidae. The record is from RefSeq and is a predicted model, not a curated record. The transcript has 2 exons.